UCCCGCCUGCCCAGUGACUCUUUAAACGGCCGCGGUAUCCUAACCGUGCAAAGGUAGCAUAAUCACUUGUCCCCUAAAUAGGGACUAGAAUGAAUGGCUAAAUGAGGACAAAACUGUCUCUUACGGACCAGCCAAUGAAAUUGAUCUUCCAGUCCAAAAGCUGGAAUAAACCCAUAAGACGAGAAGACCCUGUGGAGCUUUAAAACCAAAACCACCAAACAUGUUUCUUGGUUUUUUAGUUGGGGCGACUUUGGAGAAAAAAUAAUCCUCCAAAUAAUAAAUCCACUUAUUAAGAAUAACACACCAAAAUAAUUAAAUAGACCCAGCAACAUUUUUAUGUUGUCUGACCAAUGAACCAAGUUACCCCAGGGAUAACAGCGCCAUCCUCUUCUAGAGUCCCUAUCGACAAGAGGGUUUACGACCUCGAUGUUGGAUCAGGACACCCAUACAGUGCAGCCGCUGUAAAAGGUUCGUUUGUUCAACGAUUAAAGUCCUACGUGAUCU
RNAcentral lists this ribosomal RNA (504 nucleotides) under Podarcis vaucheri. Its description in RNAcentral is "partial 16S ribosomal RNA". It matches the Rfam family "Bacterial large subunit ribosomal RNA", at positions 1853 to 2606 of the family's 2925-position model. The record is from RNAcentral. Lineage: Eukaryota; Metazoa; Chordata; Lepidosauria; Squamata; Lacertidae.